Molecule: small RNA, 355 nt
Filed under: Enterobacter bugandensis
Lineage: Bacteria; Pseudomonadati; Pseudomonadota; Gammaproteobacteria; Enterobacterales; Enterobacteriaceae
Description: cspA thermoregulator
Rfam family: cspA thermoregulator
Source: RNAcentral
CAUUUUCAGUAAAGAAGUCCUGAGUAAACACGUUGUCGUUGAAUACCGCUUCUCUGCCGAACCUUAUAUUAGUGCCUCAUGCAGUAAUGUCUCAGUUUUAUCUCAGUUAAUGCCUGCGGGCUAAGAAAACACUCUAAGGAAUUUUGCAAAAUGGCAAAGAUUAAAGGUCAAGUUAAGUGGUUCAACGAGUCUAAAGGUUUUGGUUUCAUUACUCCUGCUGAUGGCAGCAAAGACGUGUUCGUACACUUCUCUGCAAUCCAGGGUAACGGCUUCAAAACUCUGGCCGAAGGCCAGAACGUUGAGUUCGAAAUUCAGGACGGCCAGAAAGGCCCAGCUGCAGUUAACGUAACUGCUA